CCGGCAAACGGGUGCGGAACACGUACGCAAUCUACCCAAAACUGGUGAAUAGCCCUCCGAAAGGAGGAUUAAUACACCGUAACAUAUUGAGAAGGCAUCUUUUUAAUAUUAAAGCUCCGGCGGUUUUGGAUGAGCGUGCGCCUGAUUAGGUAGUUGGCGGGGUAACGGCCCACCAAGUCUGCGAUCAGUAACUGGUGUGAGAGCACGACCAGUCACACGGGCACUGAGACACGGGCCCG
RNAcentral lists this ribosomal RNA (239 nucleotides) under uncultured bacterium. Its description in RNAcentral is "partial 16S ribosomal RNA". It matches the Rfam family "Bacterial small subunit ribosomal RNA", at positions 95 to 334 of the family's 1533-position model. The record is from RNAcentral.